GACGAACGCUGGCGGCGUGCUUAACACAUGCAAGUCGAACGGAAAGGCCCCUUUGGGGGUACUCGAGUGGCGAACGGGUGCGUAACACGUGAGUAACCUUCCCUUGACUUCGGGAUAACUUCAGGAAACUGGGGCUAAUACCGGAUAGGAAUCCUUGCUGCAUGGUGGGGGUUGGAAAGUUUCGGCCGUUUUGGAUGGACUGGCAGCUUAUCUGCUUGUUGGUGGGGCAGUGGCUUACCAAGGCGUUGACGGGUAGCCGGCCUGAGAGGGCGACCGGCCACACUGGCACAGAGGUGCGGCCCCGGUGCCGACUGGACGGAACUGUGCGGAAGCUUGAAGGAUGAACGGCAGGCUAGUGAAGCAGCUCCGCGUGUGGGAUGACGGCCUUAGGGUUGUAAACCGCUUUUAUAAGGGACGAAGCUUGUGGUGACGGUACCUGCAGAGGAAGCACCGGCUAACUACGUG
Molecule: ribosomal RNA, 465 nt
Filed under: uncultured bacterium
Lineage: Bacteria
Description: partial 16S ribosomal RNA
Rfam family: Bacterial small subunit ribosomal RNA
Source: RNAcentral